This 307-nucleotide long non-coding RNA is filed under the name Carica papaya (papaya). RNAcentral describes it as "long non-coding RNA (CPAP_LNC011907)". The record is from RNAcentral. Lineage: Eukaryota; Viridiplantae; Streptophyta; Magnoliopsida; Brassicales; Caricaceae.
CUCACGAAACAAAUAUGGUGGAUGGGUCACUAGAACCUGAUCUAGAUCUCGACGAUAUCGUGACCUAAAUUAUAAGCCACGUCAACGAUUAAGGCAACAAGUUGGGUAAGUGUAAUGUGUUUUCUAUUGUUGUCACUAAUCAAUUCCCUUGUGAUGAAAGCCAAGAUUUGAUGAUGAAUAUUUUCAAAGAAAGGGAAGAUGAUGUGAUCUUAGAUGGCCCAAAGUUAGGUCCAAGGAUGCCAUCCCCCAGGACCCGGGCCAAACAUAUAAGUAGUUAUCAAAUAUUUAUGUUUCCUAAAUAGGAUUG